Lepisosteus oculatus (spotted gar) is the source of this 1152-nucleotide non-coding RNA. The record is from RefSeq and is a predicted model, not a curated record. Lineage: Eukaryota; Metazoa; Chordata; Actinopteri; Semionotiformes; Lepisosteidae.
ACAAAGGUGCAUUUUGGAGAAAACCAAAAUUUGUAUUUUCCUUAAAUGUCCGACUGUAGCUCAAAUAAGAUAAAAAUCAGGUCGUGCGCACCGGCCAGGUGGCGUAACGGGCAAAGUCAGUGUUGCAGCUAUUGAAAACCAGGCUCUAAGCCCUGUGGCUUAGAGUAGCCUAGAGCCCCCCCGGCACCUCUUCGCUCAGAGCGGGUUCGAAUCCAACCCGGGUACGGUCCGAUCACGCUCCACCGGCGAAGUGCGUUUUCCAGCAGCCGGGUCUGCACCUGGCCGGUAUUUUUAGGGGGGUGGCCAUUCUAGGUCACACCCCUAAGAAUGGGGAACAUUGCACGGGAUUAAAGUACUAAAAGGGGUUUACAAAACGGGGACGAAUGACGUAAUUGCAGAUAUUGGCGGCGUUUUACGUCACUGUCACCUGGCGUAAAUUCCCCACGAGUGCGGCUCUCUCCCCCUUCCACGCGUGGGUCUGGUUCAAGAUGGCGGCGCCGGCAGUUUGCGAGAACUUCUGUCUCCCAUCCAGUUGCUGCAACCGAGACCUGAAGCUGUUGGGACUAGUUAAUGAUUAUUUCUUUGGCAUUGUUGGACAUUGUUCGGAAUUGCCGGCAUGGUGCGAUUUUCAAAUAUAAAAUGGGGGUCUCCUUUAAAAGGCGCAUGCUAGUGUCGUGUGUGAACACAUUCCAAGCUGCACAUCUGCAGUGCCUGUCUUACAGCGUGCCGUGGUCACUGUCUAGAGGGAUUCGGUUCUCUCUCCCAGAUCCCGGACAAGCACGUGCCUGUUCGCUGGUCACUGAAAUCUACGUGUUCAGCGGAGCUUUCGUCUGGUGAGUAGGGCCUUCGUGGCUUUGACUGUCUGGUUCUCAUCCUGCACGUCAGCUGGGUUUACAAGAGCAGCAGGAGAACAUGCACUGUCCUGCUGGCAUGUUGUCACUUCAGGAUGAGUCUGCAUGAAGGCCAGGUAGUGAGGACCCAGGACAUGGGCAGUGUAGCACCGUGCAGCCAGGGUGCCAUCAAGCACUACAAGAGGAGUUUGAUAGCAGCUAGACUGUCGCACUCGGGCCUCAUGGUGUUUGUCUGUAAUGUCUUGAUAGGUUAGAGAAUUAUGUUGAACAGAAAUUACUGAACAGUAGAAGACAGUGAACA